GAGAAAGUUGUGGAAACUAUCAAUGACUCAAUCCCUAUAAUCGAGUGGGAUUUGAAGGGACUCACUAUUUUGAUAACGGACCGCUCACAAUUCAGUACUUAUUGGUCUUGGAUGCUUUGAAUUUUUGUUUUUGGCCUGGUUCUGAAUUACGGAAAUGGUUGAUAUUGCCAAGGCCACUUCCUUUGGAGGAUGAACGGGUCCGCUUAUUGCACGAGAGAACUUUGAGGGGAAAGCAUCCAAUCUGGUGGAGUCGUGUGGAAAAUCUGCAGUAAAGCUUGUAGCUCUUGUUACAAGUCACUUUCCUGGUUUCCGUGACCACACUGUUUACAAGGGCCACCAGAUAUUCUUGUCUAAAAGAGCUCAGAUAUUUGCGUCUGAUUUAAGGGGUUCAUUCAAAGGCAAAGGUUAUGGAGAAUUCAACGACAUAGGUGCAAUUACCAUAUUUGCUGACUAUAUUGUUUCAGCAGUGCUUCGUCAGCUUGGUGUUCUGAGAUACAAUUCAUCCCUAGCUGGCAUAAUUGAGGCUAAAUGUGAAAUCGGUUUCAGGCAGAGAGGAGGAAGUGGAACUACGAGCCUGCUUGAUAUAUGCUGUAGAGAAAAUGAGGGAGUUAAUCUGGAAAAAAUCUGGAAA
Molecule: non-coding RNA, 631 nt
Organism: Camellia sinensis
Lineage: Eukaryota; Viridiplantae; Streptophyta; Magnoliopsida; Ericales; Theaceae
Source: RefSeq, a predicted model, not a curated record